Molecule: ribosomal RNA, 250 nt
Filed under: uncultured bacterium
Lineage: Bacteria
Description: partial 16S ribosomal RNA
Rfam family: Bacterial small subunit ribosomal RNA
Source: RNAcentral
UACGUAGGGGGCGAGCGUUGUCCGGAAUCAUUGGGCGUAAAGCGCGUGUAGGCGGCUUGGUAAGUCUGGUGUGAAACCUUGGGGCUCAACCCCAAGCCUGCACUGGAUACUGCCUGGCUUGAGUCCGGGAGGGGAGAGCGGAAUUCCUAGUGUAGCGGUGAAAUGCGCAGAUAUUAGGAAGAACACCGGUGGCGAAGGCGGCUCUCUGGAACGGUACUGACGCUGAGACGCGAAAGCGUGGGGAGCGAAC